RNAcentral lists this microRNA precursor (106 nucleotides) under Prunus persica (peach). RNAcentral describes it as "MIR6274 microRNA precursor family". It matches the Rfam family "MIR6274 microRNA precursor family". The record is from Rfam by way of RNAcentral. Lineage: Eukaryota; Viridiplantae; Streptophyta; Magnoliopsida; Rosales; Rosaceae.
GGAUAGUAUUGCUUUGCUAUCUUCGACUAAAAAUAUAAUGACACGUGGAAAAGAUAUUUUACGUGUCAUUACGUUAUUAGUUGGAAAUAACAAAAAAAUAUUAUCC